UUCGGACUGGAGUCUGCAACCCGACUCCACGAAGUUGGAUUCGCUAGUAAUCGCGCAUCAGCCAUGGCGCGGUGAAUACGUUCCCGGGCCUUGUACACACCGCCCGUCAAGCCAUGGGAGCCGGGGGCGCCUGAAGUCCGGGACCGCGAGGACCGGCCUAGGGCGAAACUGGUGACUGGGGCUAAGUCGUAACAAGGUAGC
Molecule: ribosomal RNA, 201 nt
Filed under: uncultured bacterium
Lineage: Bacteria
Description: partial 16S ribosomal RNA
Rfam family: Bacterial small subunit ribosomal RNA
Source: RNAcentral